CACGCCGUAAACGAUCAAUACUAGGUGUGCGGGGACUGACCCCUUGCGUGCCGGAGUUAACACAAUAAGUAUUGCACCUGGGGAGUACGAUCGCAAGGUUGAAACUCAAAGGAAUUGACGGGGGCCCGCACAAGCGGUGGAGCAUGUGGUUUAAUUCGAAGCAACGCGAAGAACCUUACCAGGUCUUGACAUCCCGAUGACCCCUCUAGAGAUAGAGUUUUCCCUUCGGGGACAUUGGUGACAGGUGG
Molecule: ribosomal RNA, 248 nt
Filed under: uncultured bacterium
Lineage: Bacteria
Description: partial 16S ribosomal RNA
Rfam family: Bacterial small subunit ribosomal RNA
Source: RNAcentral